ACAGGCUUAACACAUGCAAGUCGAGGGGUAGCAGGGUAGCAAUACCGCUGACGACCGGCGCACGGGUGAGUAACACGUAUCCAACCUUCCCAUUACUCGGGGAUAGCCUUUCGAAAGAAAGAUUAAUACCCGAUAGUACUUAAUUAUGGCAUCAUGUUUAAGUUAAAGAUUUAUUGGUAAUGGAUGGGGAUGCGUUCCAUUAGAUUGUUGGUGAGGUAACGGCUCACCAAGUCUUCGAUGGAUAGGGGUUCUGAGAGGAAGGUCCCCCACAUUGGUACUGAGACACGGACCAAACUCCUACGGGAGGCAGCAGUGAGGAAUACUGGUCAAUGGGCGAGAGCCUGAACCAGCCAAGUAGCGUGAAGGAUGACGG
This 373-nucleotide ribosomal RNA is filed under the name uncultured Bacteroidales bacterium. Its description in RNAcentral is "bacterial SSU rRNA". It matches the Rfam family "Bacterial small subunit ribosomal RNA", at positions 42 to 414 of the family's 1533-position model. Lineage: Bacteria; Pseudomonadati; Bacteroidota; Bacteroidia; Bacteroidales. The record is from RNAcentral.